AGAAGAAAAAAAAAUCUACUCAAAAAAUUACUACAAUAUUUUUAUGCUAUAUUUGACAUUUUCAACUGACUGGUUUCUUGCUAUUUCUUGAUGAAAUUCAAGGACAGUUAUUCUGAUAUUUUUAUGUUAUAUUUGACAUUUUCAACCAGCUGAUUUUGUAAUCUGUUUCUUUUCUAUUUUCUGCAGGUCUGAUGCUCGAGACGGACAAUACUGUAAAAAUGAUUGGAUGUGCUUUGUGAUGGAGUCUGUUCCAUACUGCAUCAUUACAUUUCUUGGUACAUUGAUUUGUCCAUUGUUCAUGGAUCACAUAUAUCGUCGCCAGUUUCCAAACAUCAUAAUAUAUGGAAUUUGUUCAGUACAGCAGCAAGGAUGUACAUAGGGAGCGCAGGAACAUUGCUGCCUUCAUGCAAUCUUUUCAAAUGAAAAGUAGCAAUCAUGACUGUCAAAUACUGCUAACGAGGUUGCAUAUAUAUAUAUACAUUAUAUAUAUAUAAUUACAGCUUUAACUUCAAAGAAGAAUAUCAGGAAGAAUUGAUCCCAAGGACAAUCUGAACUGUUGAAAACUUGUCUGAAAAUUAAAAUGUUAGCUCAGAAAAUAAUUCAGAUUGUUUACCGUCUGUACAUUUGAUAAAGAUAUUAUAUCUAUAUAAUUACAGCUUUAACUUCAAAAAAGAAUCUCAGGAAGAAUAUCAGUGAGUUUUCCAAAGUGAUCUGCAUGGUUUCGAAAGGAAAUAGCCUCUGAUAGCAUGUGGAAUGUUAUCAAAAGUAAAAAACACCACGCAGUGCUUAUUGAGCCCAGUACAUUAGGCAGUUGAUCCAUUUGGCCACGAGGACAUGGUCGUUGAUCAGUCAAUCUAUUGUAACCGGGGAGUCUGUCAGGAUAAUCCAGUGUCUUCCAGGCCUCCAUGAAGUAGUUAAGGACAGUGGAAGAGAUGAUGAUUUCUAACAUAUUCUUAUGCUCAUUUUGAUGUAGUUAAGUGAGGUGAGGUUUUGUGGAUGAUGUACAAAGAAUACCAUUCAGAUUUUGCCAGGGAAUUUGGAUCUCAUUGAAAUAUAAUCAAUGCCUACAAAGGGAUCCAUAAAAUGAUUCUGUGUUCUAUAUCUGAAAAAUAUGAGGCUUGGAUCUUAAUAUAAUUGAUAGAUUAUAGAGAGACCUAUCAUUUUAUUUCAUUUCUCAUGUUUCAUAUAUUAAUCCUAGAAUGUUUUUGUAGUCAUUAUAGAGACAUAGGAAAUUUAUACCUUAUUAUACUCAAUAAAUUAAAGAGGACUUGUCAUCAAAUAUUAUUUUCCAUGUUUUAUAGAGCGAUCAUGGAAUGUUCCACGGGUCAUCGUCAGAUUACAUGAAACUUCAGCCUCAAAAUGAUUGAUAAAUUACAGAGGGUUUGCCAUUAGACAGAUGGACCCCAAACUGACUCUGUCAUUAAAAGAACAGAUGGAAUGAAGAAAGAACUUAUCGGUUGAGGCGUGAUUUCACUGUUCUUAAGAAUAGAUCGCGCCCCUCUGAGAAUGAAUCUCGGUGUAGCAGGUAAUGGCGGCCUA
This is a non-coding RNA of Phoenix dactylifera (date palm), 1539 nucleotides long. The record is from RefSeq and is a predicted model, not a curated record. Lineage: Eukaryota; Viridiplantae; Streptophyta; Magnoliopsida; Arecales; Arecaceae.